CAAUAGCGUAUAUUAAAGUUGUUGCAGUUAAAGGCUCGUAGUUGGAUUUCUGGUGGGAGCGAUCGGUCUGGCGCUUAGCGCGAGUACUUGCAUCGUCUCCGGCCAUCCUUGGGGAGAGUCUGUCUGGCAUUAGGUUGUCGGGCAGAGGAUCCUCAUCGUUUACUGUGAAAAAAUUAGAGUGUUCAAAGCAGGCUUAUGCCGUUGAAUAUAUUAGCAUGGAAUAAUAAGAUAGGACUUUGGUACUAUUUUGUUGGUUUGCGCACCAAAGUAAUGAUUAAUAGGGACAGUUGGGGGUAUUCGUAUUCCGUUGUCAGAGGUGAAAUUCUUGGAUUUACGGAAGACGAACUACUGCGAAAGCAUUUACCAAGGAUGUUUUCAUUAA
This 382-nucleotide ribosomal RNA is filed under the name uncultured eukaryote. Its description in RNAcentral is "partial 18S ribosomal RNA". It matches the Rfam family "Eukaryotic small subunit ribosomal RNA", at positions 592 to 976 of the family's 1831-position model. The record is from RNAcentral.